GCCGAGGUGGUCUAACCUGGUAUGACGUCAGGCUGAAGACCUGAUGACACUCCCGUGUCUUGCGGGUUCAAAUCCCGCCCUCGGCG
RNAcentral lists this transfer RNA (86 nucleotides) under Candidatus Woesearchaeota archaeon. RNAcentral's name for it is "tRNA-Phe". It matches the Rfam family "tRNA". From Rfam's summary of the family: Transfer RNA (tRNA) molecules are approximately 80 nucleotides in length. Their secondary structure includes four short double-helical elements and three loops (D, anti-codon, and T loops). Further hydrogen bonds mediate the characteristic L-shaped molecular structure. tRNAs have two regions of fundamental functional importance: the anti-codon, which is responsible for specific mRNA codon recognition, and the 3' end, to which the tRNAs corresponding amino acid is attached (by aminoacyl-tRNA synthetases). tRNAs cope with the degeneracy of the genetic code in two manners: having more than one tRNA (with a specific anti-codon) for a particular amino acid; and 'wobble' base-pairing, i.e. permitting non-standard base-pairing at the 3rd anti-codon position. The record is from RNAcentral. Lineage: Archaea; Nanobdellati; Candidatus Woesearchaeota.